RNAcentral lists this ribosomal RNA (541 nucleotides) under Terrimonas sp. enrichment culture. RNAcentral's name for it is "bacterial SSU rRNA". It matches the Rfam family "Bacterial small subunit ribosomal RNA", at positions 355 to 896 of the family's 1533-position model. The record is from RNAcentral. Lineage: Bacteria; Pseudomonadati; Bacteroidota; Chitinophagia; Chitinophagales; Chitinophagaceae.
UAAGGAAUAUUGGUCAAUGGACGGAAGUCUGAACCAGCCAUGCCGCGUGGAGGAUGAAGGUCCUCUGGAUUGUAAACUUCUUUUAUAGGGGGCGAAAAAAGGGAAUUCUUUCUCGUCUGACGGUACCCUAUGAAUAAGCACCGGCUAACUCCGUGCCAGCAGCCGCGGUAAUACGGAGGGUGCAAGCGUUAUCCGGAUUCACUGGGUUUAAAGGGAGCGUAGGCGGGCAUGUAAGUCAGUGGUGAAAGCCCUCAGCUUAACUGAGGAACUGCCAUUGAUACUAUAUGUCUUGAAUGUCGUUGAGGUUUGCGGAAUAGGUCAUGUAGCGGUGAAAUGCUUAGAUAUGACCUAGAACACCUAUUGCGAAGGCAGCAGGCUAAACGAAUAUUGACGCUGAGGCUCGAAAGCGUGGGGAUCAAACAGGAUUAGAUACCCUGGUAGUCCACGCCCUAAACGAUGAUUACUCGACAUUGGCGAUACACAGUCAGUGUCUGAGCGAAAGCAUUAAGUAAUCCACCUGGGAAGUACGACCGCAAGGUUG